Molecule: long non-coding RNA, 621 nt
Organism: Actinia tenebrosa (Australian red waratah sea anemone)
Lineage: Eukaryota; Metazoa; Cnidaria; Anthozoa; Actiniaria; Actiniidae
Source: RefSeq, a predicted model, not a curated record
UCUGGGGUGAAUGUUCUUGAUUCCAUCAAGGCCGUUAACAAGUCAUCCACGAGCACAAGAGAGUCAGAAAUGGCAAGAUUCCCAAUUAAGACUCCGAACCCGCUGCAUUAUUUAGCGGCGCACAGAACACUUGUGCUUUCUCAUGGUGAAGCGGGUUGAUUUUGAAAACCAUGGGAAGAUGGACAACGAUGUGAACGGACUCAAUUCACCGGACUUGAUUCAAGUGAAAUGCUUCAUAUCAGUCUCAGAGGCUGUCAGUUUGACAGGAUUUACAUAGAAAACAYGCUUAAAAGAUCUUAAACGUUCAAAGUAACCGCGAACUGAUGAUAUAUUCACCCUACUAUGUAUAUUUUAAAAUGUUAUCAUCUUUUGCUGUCGGUUGUCAUAGAGUUCAUUCKGAAGUUCACAGUGGUUUGUAUUUACAUUCGAUUCAGGAAGCUCAAGCUAAGAAUUGUUUACAUGAUAGUGGCGUAUCAGUAAUGAAUAAUGUYCUUAACUAAAUAACGUAAUAUACAAUCAUGAUAUUUGAUUGGUAGAUAGCCGAUUGGUAGAAUAUGGAUGGAUUAUGAGAUUGCAUAAGAUUGGAUGGAAUAGGGUUGGAAUAAAUGAGAUAUAUUGAUG